GACGAACGCUGGCGGCGUGCUUAACACAUGCAAGUCGAACGAAAAGAGGGAAAGAGCUUGCUCUUUCCGGAAUUGAGUGGCAAACGGGUGAGUAACACGUAAACAACCUGCCUUCAGGAUGGGGACAACAGACGGAAACGACUGCUAAUACCGAAUAAGUUCCAAGAGCCGCAUGGCCCAUGGAAGAAAAGGUGGCCCCUACCUGUAAGCUAUCGCCUGAAGAGGGGUUUGCGUCUGAUUAGCUGGUUGGGGGGGUAACGGCCCACCAAGGCGACGAUCAGUAGACGGUCUGAGAGGAUGAACGGCCACACUGGAACUGAGACACGGUCCAGACUCCUACGGGAGGCAGCAGUGGGGAAUCUUCCGCAAUGGGCGAAAGCCUGACGGAGCAACGCCGCGUGAGUGAUGACGGCCUUCGGGUUGUAAAACUCUGUGAUCCGGGACGAAAAGGCAGAGUGCGAAGAACAAACUGCAUUGACGGUACCGGAAAAGCAAGCCACGGUUAACUACGUG
This 513-nucleotide ribosomal RNA is filed under the name uncultured bacterium. RNAcentral's name for it is "partial 16S ribosomal RNA". It matches the Rfam family "Bacterial small subunit ribosomal RNA", at positions 28 to 507 of the family's 1533-position model. The record is from RNAcentral.